GUGGGGAAUCUUGCGCAAUGGGCGAAAGCCUGACGCAGCCAUGCCGCGUGAAUGAUGAACGUCUUAGGAUUGUAAAAUUCUUUCACCGGGGACGAUAAUGACGGUACCCGGAGAAGAAGCUCCGGCUAACUUCGUGCCAGCAGCCGCGGUAAUACGAAGGGGGCUAGCGUUGCUCGGAAUUACUGGGCGUAAAGGGCGCGUAGGCGGACAGCUUAGUCAGAGGUGAAAGCCCAGGGCUCAACCUUGGAAUUGCCUUUGAUACUGGCUGUCUUGAGUUUGGGAGAGGUGAGUGGAACUCCGAGUGUAGAGGUGAAAUUCGUAGAUAUUCGGAAGAACACCAGUGGCGAAGGCGACUCACUGGCCCAAUACUGACGCUGAGGCGCGAAAGCGUGGGGAGCAAACAGGAUUAGAUACCCUAGUAGUCC
Molecule: ribosomal RNA, 425 nt
Filed under: uncultured bacterium
Lineage: Bacteria
Description: partial 16S ribosomal RNA
Rfam family: Bacterial small subunit ribosomal RNA
Source: RNAcentral